ACCUUGAACACUGAGAUACUGUC
This 23-nucleotide non-coding RNA is filed under the name Cricetulus griseus (Chinese hamster). The record is from RNAcentral. Lineage: Eukaryota; Metazoa; Chordata; Mammalia; Rodentia; Cricetidae.